This 762-nucleotide ribosomal RNA is filed under the name Xenophrys lini. RNAcentral describes it as "partial 12S ribosomal RNA". It matches the Rfam family "Bacterial small subunit ribosomal RNA", at positions 292 to 1404 of the family's 1533-position model. The record is from RNAcentral. Lineage: Eukaryota; Metazoa; Chordata; Amphibia; Anura; Megophryidae.
GUGAAAACGCCCUCUCUCUCCUAGUAAAAGAAAGAGGAGCCGGUAUCAGGCUCAAUUCGCCCAUGACACCUAGCCCCGCCACACCCCCAAGGGUAUUCAGCAGUGAUCAACAUUGUAAACUAGCGUAAGCUAAAUUCAGUUACCAGCUAAAAAAACCGGUCAAUCUCGUGCCAGCCACCGCGGUUAUACGGGCAGGUUUAAAUUGAUAAGAUCGGCACAAAGCGUGGUUAGACCCCCUACCUCAAUAAAGCAAAAAUUAAGCCCGGCUGUAAUAUGCUUACGCUUUUAAUAACUUCAAUCACGAAAGUAGCUUUAACUCUUAUUGAACCCACGAUCGCUAGGGCACAAACUGGGAUUAGAUACCCCACUAUGCCUAGCCCUAAACUUUGACUCACUCCGCCUGGGGACUACGAGCGUCAGCUUAAAACCCAAAAGACUUGGCGGUGCCCUACACCACCUAGAGGAGCCUGUUCUAUAAUCGAUAAUCCCCGAUUCACCUCACCACCUCUUGCCAAUACCGCCUGUAUACCUCCGUCGCCAACUGACCCCUUAAGGGAAUUAGUCGGUUAAAUGGCCUUCUUCCAGUAAGUCAGGUCAAGGUGCAGCGAAUGAGGUGGGAAGAAAUGGGCUACAUUUUCUACUAAUAGACUAUACGAAAGAUCACUAUGAAAUCUGAUUGGAAGGUGGAUUUAGCAGUAAAAAGAGACUAGAGCGCUCUUUUUAAGUUGGCUCUAGGGCGCGCACACACCGCCCGUCACCCCU